Molecule: ribosomal RNA, 794 nt
Filed under: uncultured bacterium
Lineage: Bacteria
Description: bacterial SSU rRNA
Rfam family: Bacterial small subunit ribosomal RNA
Source: RNAcentral
AGAGUUUGAUCCUGGCUCAGAUUGAACGCUGGCGGCAUGCUUUACACAUGCAAGUCGAACGGCAGCACGGGUGCUUGCACCUGGCGGCGAGUGGCGGACGGGUGAGUAAUACAUCGGAACGUGUCCUGAAGUGGGGGAUAACGCAUCGAAAGAUGUGCUAAUACCGCAUAUACUCUGAGGAGUAAAGUAGGGGAUCGAAAGACCUUAUGCUUUUGGAGCGGCCGAUGUCUGAUUAGCUAGUUGGUGGGGUAAUUGCCUACCAAGGCGACGAUCAGUAGUUGGUCUGAGAGGACGGCCAGCCACACUGGGACUGAGACACGGCCCAGACUCUUACGGGAGGCAGCAGUGGGGAAUUUUGGACAAUGGGCGCAAGCCUGAUCCAGCAAUGCCGCGUGAGUGAAGAAGGCCUUCGGGUUGUAAAGCUCUUUCAGUUGAGAAGAAAAGAUUGUAACUAAUAAUUACAGUUCAUGACGGUAUCAACAGAAGAAGCACCGGCUAACUACGUGCCAGCAGCCGCGGUAAUACGUAGGGUGCGAGCGUUAAUCGGAAUUACUGGGCGUAAAGGGUGCGCAGGCGGUUCUGUAAGUCAGAUGUGAAAUCCCCGGGCUUAACCUGGGAACUGCGUUUGAAACUACAGAGCUAGAGUGUGGCAGAGGGGGGUGGAAUUCCAUGUGUAGCAGUGAAAUGCGUAGAGAUAUGGAAGAACAUCGAUGGCGAAGGCAGCCCCCUGGGUUAACACUGACGCUCAUGCACGAAAGCGUGGGGAGCAAACAGGAUUAGAUACCCUGGUAGUC